This 498-nucleotide ribosomal RNA is filed under the name uncultured bacterium. RNAcentral's name for it is "partial 16S ribosomal RNA". It matches the Rfam family "Bacterial small subunit ribosomal RNA", at positions 30 to 523 of the family's 1533-position model. The record is from RNAcentral.
AUUGAACGCUGGCGGCAUGCUUUACACAUGCAAGUCGAACGGUAACAGGUCUUCGGAUGCUGACGAGUGGCGAACGGGUGAGUAAUACAUCGGAACGUGCCUAGUAGUGGGGGAUAACUACUCGAAAGAGUAGCUAAUACCGCAUGAGAUCUACGGAUGAAAGCAGGGGACCUUCGGGCCUUGUGCUACUAGAGCGGCUGAUGGCAGAUUAGGUAGUUGGUGGGGUAAAGGCUUACCAAGCCUGCGAUCUGUAGCUGGUCUGAGAGGACGACCAGCCACACUGGGACUAAGACACGGCCCAGACUCCUACGGGAGGCAGCAGUGGGGAAUUUUGGACAAUGGGCGAAAGCCUGAUCCAGCAAUGCCGCGUGCAGGAUGAAGGCCCUCGGGUUGUAAACUGCUUUUGUACGGAACGAAAAGCCUGGGGCUAAUAAGCUGAGCUCAUGACGGUACCGUAAGAAUAAGCACCGGCUAACUACGUGCCAGCCGCCGCCGUAA